UCCCGUCUUUCCCCAGUCUACUAUACGUUAUAUAGUAGGUUGGGGGAAGAUGGGACAC
Molecule: microRNA precursor, 58 nt
Filed under: Ciona intestinalis (vase tunicate)
Lineage: Eukaryota; Metazoa; Chordata; Ascidiacea; Phlebobranchia; Cionidae
Description: miRNA (ENSCING00000023399.1)
Source: RNAcentral